UAUCAAAACACAUGUGCAAGUUUGUGGCCGUGUCACACCCACAGAGUGUUUCAGGUGGUCCGAUCACCUUCAUAGAGAGACAACCGGUGGAGGUAAACCGGUGGAAGCGCGGCAAUAGCAGGUCUGUGAUGCCCUUCGAUGUUCUGGGCUGCACGCGCGCUACAAUGACAACGACAGCGAGUAUCCUGACCGAAAGGUUUGGGUAACCUUGUGAAUCGUUGUCAUGCUGGGGAUUGAGCUUUGCAAUUAUCGCUCAUGAACUUGGAAUUCCUCGUAAGUCCGAGUCAUCAGCUCGGGCUGAAUACGUCUCUGCCCUUUGUACACAACCGCCCGUCGCUACUACCGAUUGAAUGGGUCGGUGAGGACCUUGAUCGAGGUUAACUUUAGUGUGUAACCUUGAGAGCAUGUUCAAACCGAUCAGUCAGAGGA
RNAcentral lists this ribosomal RNA (429 nucleotides) under Sphaerospora elopi. Its description in RNAcentral is "bacterial SSU rRNA". It matches the Rfam family "Eukaryotic small subunit ribosomal RNA", at positions 1360 to 1780 of the family's 1831-position model. Lineage: Eukaryota; Metazoa; Cnidaria; Myxozoa; Bivalvulida; Sphaerosporidae. The record is from RNAcentral.